UAUGGGUCACUGAGGUUCCUUUAGAUAUGAAAAGGACUUAAGCAGGUGUAUGCAAAUAGUUCAUUGUUGACUGUGAACAGAUAUCUAGAGAUCGCCAACACAUUAAAUCUAAGUUUAAUACUUAAACUGACCUUCCUUCCUUUCUUCCUUUUUUAUUUAUUUCUCUAUUCUUUGAUUGCCAUUUAUCAUGGACAAAAGACAUUACAUUUUAACACUGUAUGAUAGUUCACAAUAUUAAGGUUAUGUUCAGUAUGACAAGGACCGUCCUAUGCUUGUCACUGCAGGUUUUAUGAACACAUCUUUUGGAGACAUUGACACACCUUUAAUUAUGACUCCUUAUCGCAACAAAGCAGUAAUCAUUUAAAUAGCACAUCUGAUAUAGGUAAACAGCACACAGCUUCAAAAUAAAGUAGACGAGACCACUGGAACAUCAGAUGUUAGCUACUAUGUAUAGUGAGUAACAUUAAAUAUUAAGAUUUAUCUUCCUUCUCAGUCUCCUGGAACAUGUAGGAAAGGGCACAAACGGGAUCUUUACUUAGAAACUUGAUAUGACUGCAUUUAAGCUCAGGUGCUUAAGCUCACCACCACCAUUGUAAAAUAAAUGUUUGUCUUGGCACAGAGUCAUCAUUGACACCUUCACAUUUUGUGCUAAGCAAUUUUUUUUAUCUCAUCCUGUGUGAUAGGAAGUAAAUAUUUGUGGGACAGUUCCAGCGUUUUGGAGGUGGAACAUUUCGGGGGGGGGUGUUAUGGGGAUUUUAUUGCAUUUAUUGACAUUGGAAUUGCAUUCUUGUGAAACUGAAUGUGAUAUUCUCUGGGUACCAUUCUCCUCCUGUGUAAAGUCAAGAGGGAAAGUAUUUACCUUUUAGUGACUGUUUCAGCUUAGGAGCAUUUGCAGGAGCUAGCUGCUCCUACUGUCUCCUCCUUACAGGUACUUUGGAUCACUAAUUCACCUCAUCAGCUUAACCUGACACGGAAGAAGCAGGAAUAUCAAGGGUAGAGUUACUCUCAAAGCAAGUGAUGCCUAAGUGAUAUUGACACUUUGACACAAACAGUUGAGAAGUAAGUGUGUGUGUGUGUGUGUGUGUGUGUGUGUGUGUGUGUGUGUGUGUGUGUGUGUGUCCUAGAGAGAGACACAGAGACAGAGAGACAGAGAGAGAUUUUGCUAAUUAGCUCUUUGCUUUGCUCUCGGCCUGGUGGCCUUGUGACAUAAUAAAGCAGAGGAGAAAUCACUUUCAGACUCAUGUGAAAUUAAAAGAAAAUUGCAAGGAUGAAUCUGUUGAAUAAAAAGGAAUUGGAUGUGUAAAAGAGAAAAAUCCAGGCCUCCUGGAGCCCAUUGCAAGGCAUUAGCCCAUGGAGCAUGCUGCUGCCUUGCUCAGUGGGAGGUGACAUUGCAAUUAUGUUUCUCAGUAUGAGUCCUGCCUGCCCAAUGGCAUAGGGCCACAUUGAUGGAAUCAGGGUGUCCACUGCACUGAAAUAUCUUCAUGCCUUCAAAUUAUUUCAGAUUAUUGUGAUUUUAGACAAGUAUUUUAUUAUAUUUUUAAAAGAAGUAUGGUGCAAUAGUAUGCUUAUACAUGGAAACAUGUAUUAUUAAUGACUGUCAUUUUUAUAAUUCUAAUAAAAUAAUUUGUCAUUCUUUUAUACAUUUUAAUAAAAUAAUUGGUCAAUCUCUUAUCUAUAAUAGAAGAGAGGGCCUUGCUAUAUCACCUUGGUUGGCCUGGAACUUAUUCUGUAGAUCAGGCUGGCCUUGAACACACAGAGUCGAUCUGAAUAAGACAUGUCCCUGACAUACCCUGCUAUAGUUAUAUUCUUAAUUCAAUAUGAAUUAUGGUUGAAGAAAUUGAAUGAAUACUGUUUAUCUCUCUGCAAUUUUAUAAGGUAUAUCCAGAGGACUUGUUAAGCUUUCUACCUUAAAAAUUUUUUUCAAAAUAUUUUGAAAGUAUAUAUUUCUUCCUUUGUCGAUGAGUCAUAGUUAUCAAUUACGUUUUUCCUUUAGGAAAAUCAUGCAAAAAUAUAUCCUCAAGACAUAGAAAAGAAAACCUAAGGAGAAACCCAGCUCUUCUGCACUUCAUUUUUAUGAUUUAUUUGGGUCUCUUCAAUUUGCAACAAUUUGUUUUUUUCUUAAAACAUAGAAAAUACAUUGGCAACACAUUAAUAAUCCUUGUUGUUAAGGUAAAUAAGGUUAUUUAUCCAAGCACAUUACUAGCUGUCUGGAUAUAUUUUAGCCUUUUUUCCAUACAAAUCUUCAAUACAUUUCCAUCAUUCAGAAAAUUACAACUAAGUGGACAAUUUAGGGGUUUGGAGUUGUUUUAUUUGUAGCCCGUGCUGGCCUUGAACCUCAUGUGACCCUCCUUUCUCAGCAUUCCUAGGGUUAAAGAGUACAGCUCUUGAGCCACCAUGCUUGCCACAUAAGCUGGAUAUUUUUUAAAUUAAAUCCAGUUUCAAAGAACAUACAUUACCCUGUGCUGUGUACUCAUAUUUUUGUCUGUUUGGUUUCCUUUUUAUAUUUUCAGAAUGCAUUCCACAAUAUUCCUGCAAAAGCAUUAAAGAAUAUCAAAAUAAUAUAAUAUAAGUAACUGUAGUUUGAUCUUGACAUUCGGUGCCUGGAAUGUCCUUGAGCUCCCACUCUUAAAAGACAAAUAAACAACAAAAACUUUUAUACAAUUCUCCCCAAAGCUUUAUAUUCAAAACAGGAAUUCUUGAAAUAGUCCCCAUUAACAUUUAAUGACAUAUUGGAAGUUUCAGUGGUGGAGAGAAAGACGGUUUGCAUUCAUGUAUGAAGAUAAGUAGGCAUGCCCAGGGGAUUUGGCAUUGUAGAAAAGCUUUGUGAUUAGAAGGAAUUAUCUUUUCUUUUGUAAAGUUUUCUACUUGUUGGGUGGCUGUUAGACUUUUAGCAGUUUUUAUUUCCACUUGGGUGUUUCUCCUAGCAUCCCUAUGUGUCCAUAGUUUUCUACAUUUUUUAAAGACCUUGGAUGGUGAAAAUAAUCCAGAAAAUUUUAUCUUCAAAAAGAAAAAAAAAAACCAGCAAAUUGAGUAUGAGAAUAUAAUAUUUUUUGUCUUAAUGUUGUGUAAAAGGUGAUUAAAUAUCAUUGGGUGACACAUCCUAGAAGUUAGGACAAGAACAGAACAGUACACAAAUCUUCCCAAGUCCUUCAAGGUAUCCAGGCUCACCAGAUGCUGUGCCUCUCCUCCAGAAAGCAUGAUACAACAGAGCCAAUGACAGCAUCUCAUCACCAUGUCCGUGGCUCACUUUCUGAGCACUUUAUGUGUAGCCAGUUAUAUUUGUUCUUAUUGUGAUUUCAUGAAUUUCAUACUUGUUUUGAAGCCCAUUUCCUGGCUUUGGCAAUGUUGGAUACGGACGUAAAGCAACUGCCAGUUAUGUUAUAUGCAAACUGAUUCCUAAGCUAUCCUCUAACUCACUGUGUGUUUGGGCUGCACAGGCAAGAGGGCAAGUUUUUUGUUUUGUUUUUGUUUUAACCAGUGAAGAUCUUUGACAACCAGCAUCACUACCCUAGUUAUUUUAGGAUAUAUGUAAUAUGUACUAACACAUAAAAGUGAGGACACUUGUACUGUGCCACAAUCAUAAGCAGGCUGGUAAAACCUACAUGCAACAACCAAUGGGAAAUGACCCCAGGAGUAAGAGAGCUUGAUUGACAGUAAACUCCUGGUAAACAGUAAUGAUGCAGGCUCCAAUUAGAGAACUAACUUUUAAGUCUCUGUGCC
Molecule: long non-coding RNA, 3720 nt
Filed under: Mus musculus (house mouse)
Lineage: Eukaryota; Metazoa; Chordata; Mammalia; Rodentia; Muridae
Description: long non-coding RNA chr10:28449457-28453177
Source: RNAcentral